This 744-nucleotide ribosomal RNA is filed under the name uncultured Campylobacter sp. RNAcentral describes it as "partial 16S ribosomal RNA". It matches the Rfam family "Bacterial small subunit ribosomal RNA", at positions 19 to 776 of the family's 1533-position model. The record is from RNAcentral. Lineage: Bacteria; Pseudomonadati; Campylobacterota; Epsilonproteobacteria; Campylobacterales; Campylobacteraceae.
UGGCNUCAGANNNGANCNNNGGNNGGNGUGCCUAAUACAUGCAAGUCGAACGAAGAUUAAGUAGCUUGCUAUUUAAUCUUAGUGGCGCACGGGUGAGUAANGUAUAGUUAAUNUGCNCCAUAGUGGAGGACAACAGUUAGAAAAUGACUGCUAAUACUCCAUACUCCUUCUUAUCAUAAGUUAAGUCGGGGAAAGUUUUUCGCUANGGGAUGAGACUAUAUCGUAUCAGCUAGUUGGUAAGGUAAUGGCUUACCAAGGCUAUGACGCGUAACUGGUCUGAGAGGAUGAUCAGUCACAUUGGAACUGAGACACGGUCCAAACUCCUACGGGNGGCAGCAGUAGGGAAUAUUGCGCAAUGGGGGAAACCCUGACGCAGCAACGCCGCGUGGAGGAUGACACUUUUCGGAGCGUAAACUCCUUUUGUUAGGGAAGAAUAAUGACGGUACCUAACGAAUAAGCACCGGCUAACUCCGUGCCAGCAGCCGCGGUAAUACGGAGGGUGCAAGCGUUACUCGGAAUCACUGGGCGUAAAGGACGCGUAGGCGGAUUAUCAAGUCUCUUGUGAAAUCUAGUGGCUUAACCACUAAACUGCUUGGGAAACUGAUAAUCUAGAGUAAGGGAGAGGCAGAUGGAAUUCUUGGUGUAGGGGUAAAAUCCGUAGAGAUCAAGAAGAAUACUUAUUGCGAAGGCGAUCUGCUAGAACUUAACUGACGCUAAUGCGUGAAAGCGUGGGGAGCAAACAGG